UGUGUAGGCGGUUGUUUAAGUUUGGUGUGAAAUCUCCCGGCUUAACUGGGAGGGUGCGCCGAAUACUGAAUGACUUGGAGUGCGGGAGAGGAGAGUGGAAUUCCUGGUGUAGCGGUGAAAUGCGUAGAUAUCAGGAGGAACACCGGCGGUGUAGACGGCUCUCUGGACCGUAACUGACGCUGAAACACGAAAGCGUGGGUAGCAAACAGGAUUAGAUACCCUGGUAGUCCACGCCCUAAACGAUGCAUAUUUGGUGUGGGCAGUUCAUUCUGUCCGUGCCGGAGCUAACGCGUUAAAUAUGCCGCCUGGGGAGUACAGUCGCAAGGCUGAA
This 331-nucleotide ribosomal RNA is filed under the name uncultured bacterium. RNAcentral's name for it is "bacterial SSU rRNA". It matches the Rfam family "Bacterial small subunit ribosomal RNA", at positions 568 to 898 of the family's 1533-position model. The record is from RNAcentral.